Molecule: long non-coding RNA, 630 nt
Filed under: Fukomys damarensis (Damara mole-rat)
Lineage: Eukaryota; Metazoa; Chordata; Mammalia; Rodentia; Bathyergidae
Description: lncRNA (ENSFDAG00000030094.1)
Source: RNAcentral
CAGUAAGGAUAUUUUAAGUGAACAUUUAUAAUUUGAGUCAAUAAUUAAACCUACCUCUUCAACAUUUUUAUGAGAUGGAUAUUAAUUUCCUGGCCCCAUCAGAUCUUUCAUGUUUCCGAUGAAGCACCAACCAUCUGUCCCAAACUCAUCACCUAGCAACAAUAAUGACAAACUGACCUCAUAGUUGAAUAUAAGUAGCAUAGCACGACCCUAAUAAAUGUUCCACAGCUUAUUCCAUGGUAACUUUAUCAUUCGCUGUAAUGGUGUCACCUUCACCAUAGCUUGGCAAGGAAGGAGAUGAAGUACUGUAAUGGGGACAGAAAAUAAAAUCAAGAUGGCUCGUGGGAAAAGAUCUCUUCUUCAGGAAGCUAAAAAUAGGAAUUACCAAAGCAAGCAACUUUUUGGCAUGGCACAGACCACUGGUGGAGUUUGGAAAGAAUAUGAAUUUGGAAUCUGUAUCCAUUGAGGCUUAGAUCUCUUUCCUUACUUGUAUCUUUCAAAUGACUUUCAAAAUAAAAUCUUAUUUUGGGCAAAAAAAAAAAAAUGAGAAACUAGAGUCAUUUAUAGCUAAACGGAUGCACAUGGAGGCCAUACUCUUAAGUGAAAUAAACGGGACGCACAUGUGUAAAU